ACUGCUUCUCAGCCUUUUGGCUAAGAUCAAGUGUAAUUCUUCUUAUAUGGCAGGUAGACCGUACUAAGAACAAAUUCUCCCAGUAUUUGUUUAUCUGAAAAAAGUCUGUAUUUCACAUUAAUUGUAAACAUUAGCUCUUUUGGAUAAAGGAUUCUUGAUUGAGAAUUUUUUAGCUUGAUUUUCAUUACAUUUCAGAUAUUUUUAGCUAUUAUUUC
This is a small nuclear RNA of Heterocephalus glaber (naked mole-rat), 215 nucleotides long. Its record names the gene U2. It matches the Rfam family "U2 spliceosomal RNA". Rfam says of the family: U2 is a small nuclear RNA (snRNA) component of the spliceosome (involved in pre-mRNA splicing). The record is from Ensembl. NCBI's taxonomy places the organism in Eukaryota, Metazoa, Chordata, Mammalia, Rodentia, Bathyergidae.